AGCUAAGAUGGUCACUGCAGUUCAUGGAGGUCAAGAUCAUCAAAUUAAGUCACCAUUCCUAACCAAAAAGGACGACCUAGUCACCUAUCAGCUCCUAUUCGGAACCAUGCCCCUAAAACCGACAUACAUUCAGCUCCAGAUGGCAGAUGAGAUAUUCCGAAAGGUUGAAGACAAGUACGAUCCACCCAUCAUUCAUAGGAGACCGUUCCUCAGCACC
This 217-nucleotide long non-coding RNA is filed under the name Sorghum bicolor (sorghum). RNAcentral's name for it is "long non-coding RNA (SBIC_LNC004374)". Lineage: Eukaryota; Viridiplantae; Streptophyta; Magnoliopsida; Poales; Poaceae. The record is from RNAcentral.